UACGUAGGGAGCAAGCGUUGUCCGGAAUCAUUGGGCGUAAAGCGCGCGUAGGCGGCCCCGUAAGUCCGCUGUGAAAGUCAAAGGCUCAACCUUUGAAAGCCGGUGGAUACUGUGGGGCUAGAGUCCGGAAGAGGCGAGUGGAAUUCCUGGUGUAGCGGUGGAAUGCGCAGAUAUCAGGAGGAACACCAAUAGCGAAGGCAGCUCGCUGGGACGGUACUGACGCUAAGGCGCGAAAGCGUGGGGAGCGAGCAGG
RNAcentral lists this ribosomal RNA (253 nucleotides) under uncultured bacterium. RNAcentral describes it as "partial 16S ribosomal RNA". It matches the Rfam family "Bacterial small subunit ribosomal RNA", at positions 524 to 776 of the family's 1533-position model. The record is from RNAcentral.